This 301-nucleotide ribosomal RNA is filed under the name uncultured bacterium. Its description in RNAcentral is "partial 16S ribosomal RNA". It matches the Rfam family "Bacterial small subunit ribosomal RNA", at positions 509 to 808 of the family's 1533-position model. The record is from RNAcentral.
CAGUCGCCACGGUAAUACGAACCGUGCGAACGUUAUUCGGAAUUACUGGGCUUAAAGCGCGUGUAGGCGGGCCGCCACGUCGGUUGCUGAAAUCCCCCGGCUCAACCGGGGAAGUGGCAUCGAUACGAGCGGCCUUGAGGGGGGUAGGGGGAUCUGGAACUUCCGGUGGAGCGGUGAAAUGCGUUGAGAUCGGAAGGAACGCCCGUGGCGAAAGCGAGGUCCUGGACCCUUUCUGACGCUGAGACGCGAAAUCCAGGGGAGCGAACGGGAUUAGAGACCCCAGUAGUCCCUGUCUCUUAUA